AUACGGAGGAUCCAAGCGUUAUCCGGAUUUAUUGGGUUUAAAGGGUGCGCAGGCGGUAUUAUAAGUCAGUGGUGAGAUCUGGAGGCUCAACCUCCAAACUGCCAUUGAUACUGUAGUACUAGAGUACAGACGAAGUAGGCGGAAUGUAGCAUGUAGCGGUGAAAUGCUUAGAUAUGCUACAGAACACCGAUCGCGAAGGCAGCUUACUAGACUGUUACUGACGCUAAUGCACGAAAGCGUGGGGAGCGAACAGGAUUAGAAACCCGAGUAGUCC
Molecule: ribosomal RNA, 274 nt
Filed under: uncultured bacterium
Lineage: Bacteria
Description: partial 16S ribosomal RNA
Rfam family: Bacterial small subunit ribosomal RNA
Source: RNAcentral